RNAcentral lists this ribosomal RNA (251 nucleotides) under uncultured bacterium. RNAcentral's name for it is "partial 16S ribosomal RNA". It matches the Rfam family "Bacterial small subunit ribosomal RNA", at positions 524 to 774 of the family's 1533-position model. The record is from RNAcentral.
UACGAAGGGUGCAAGCGUUACUCGGAAUUACUGGGCGUAAAGCGUGCGUAGGUGGUCGUUUAAGUCCGUUGUGAAAGCCCUGGGCUCAACCUGGGAACUGCAGUGGAUACUGGGCGACUAGAAUGUGGUAGAGGGUAGCGGAAUUCCUGGUGUAGCAGUGAAAUGCGUAGAGAUCAGGAGGAACAUCCAUGGCGAAGGCAGCUACCUGGACCAACAUUGACACUGAGGCACGAAAGCGUGGGGAGCAAACA